AAGUGAGCCUUUCGAAGGCAGGUUGGGCUCCAUUGUGCCCGCCUGUUCAAUGCGGCUCAAAGAUGU
Molecule: small nucleolar RNA, 66 nt
Filed under: Euglena gracilis
Lineage: Eukaryota; Euglenozoa; Euglenophyceae; Euglenales; Euglenaceae
Description: Eg-p5
Source: RNAcentral